Molecule: long non-coding RNA, 1815 nt
Organism: Malus domestica (apple)
Lineage: Eukaryota; Viridiplantae; Streptophyta; Magnoliopsida; Rosales; Rosaceae
Source: RefSeq, a predicted model, not a curated record
GAACAAAAACUUCACGGAACAAACACAUUCACUCAACAUAUAAAUAUCAUUAACUAAACUCUCCGCACAUCAAGUUUCAUUUCCUUAUUCAGUAAUGAUUAAGUCAUGCACUUCUUCCCUACAGCAUGCCCGGAGACCUUCGCGAAUUGUUGCCAUCUUUGCCAUCUUCACUGAGUCACACUGCAGCGUGCCCCCUUCAAAUUUCAGUAACCCAGCAAAAUCCCUUGCUGCUCCACCCCCCCCCCCCCUUUCCCCGGCGCCGCCCCUCUUCCUUUCUUCCCAUUCCAUGCCCCAUCACAAUUAAGUUUAGGUUUAAUUGUUAUAUCCUCCCUAAGCACCUUAAAUUUCAAGAUUUAUAAUGUUUUCUUAAAAUUGCUUUCUUUAAAAAUUUCAGCCAAAUUAUUUCGAGGAAAUUAUAGUAAUAGUCCUUCAACUUUAAUCUAAUUGAACUAAUGGUCCCUCUACUAAAAAUUCAUGAUCAUUGGUCCCUUAACUUCUUAAAACGUGCAGCUAUGGUCCUUUUCAUCAACUCCGUUAGAACUAGGGGUGGGCAAACGGGUAUAGAAACCGCGGGUCGAGACGGGUACGGGCCGGUUCCUAAUUUUUAAAAAGUGAAACGGGGAGGGACGAGGUGGGCCGGGGCUUUAAAAUUUUAAGUUUGGACCGGAUCCAAAAGUAUAGAAAAACGGGUAGCCGGACCGGCCUGUUUGUAAUUGCAAUGGGCGGAAGAGAUCGAAGAGGAACCUAGUUUCACAUCCGAAUCGUUUGUUUAGUGUUUUACCCUAGGACUAGGUCUCCUCCUCAAGCUCAACUCUUAGCUCUGUUACUGGUCCUCGAACUCGGACUCGAUUCUCUCUCGCCGUCUCGCCUCGUCGUCUCCUCCACCACCCUGAGCUCGACUCUGUCACUGGACCGAGGUCUCCUCGAGCUCGACUUUGCCAAUGCCCAAACCAAUGAAGGUUGGUUCUGAUUUAGUUAUUACCGUACAUGUUGAAAUUAAUCACAGAUAUGGGUACUAACAGGUUGUAUGAGAGUGUGUUUGUUUGAUUGAGUUGUAAAAUCGUCGGUCUAUGUUUCUUGCUCUGGGAUUUCACCUUGCAAAACGGAGUCGUCUACUUCGGUGGGAUUUCACAGAUAUAGCCAUUUUUUUGGGUGUAUGAUGGACAUGGUGGGAAGAAGGCUGCAGAUUUUGUUGCUGAGAAUUUGCACAAUGAUAUUGUUGAAAUGAUGGAAAUGCAUACGGAAAUUGAAUAGGCAGGGAAACAGGGUGGGUUUUCAUGGGAAGGUGAGGGGUUGGGGAGUUUGGUGUUCUGCGGAGCAGGGGAUAAACAGAUGGGUUACAGUCUCUGGAGGAAUUGCUCAAGGCGUCAGCGGAGACGCUGGGGAACGAAGAGGAUGACGAAGACCCGUGGGGACCCGUAGGAACCGGCCUGUUCAAAGGUCCGGUUAGGUCCGAAUCCCAUUUUGAAAAAUCCAAAACCCACCCUGCCCCGCCCCGUUUUAUUUACAAACAAGUUCGGUCCGGUUCCUUCAAUUUUGGACCUGGCUUGGCCUGUGCCCACCCCUAGUUAGAACUUCUGUGAAAAUGAGUCACAUGUCACACACAUGAGACUGAAUUGAGGGUCAAAUAUGGAAAACCAAAUAAGAAAAAUUGUAGCAAUGGUCAUUCCAACAUGACUCAUUUUGAUGAAAUUAUGAUGGAGUUAACGAAAAAGAUCAUAGAUGUUAUUUUUUACGAGUUAAGGGACCAAUGGUCAUGUAUUUUUAGUUGAGGGACCAUUGCUCAAUUGAAUUAAAGUUGAGGGAUCAUUACUA